GAUGAACGCUAGCUACAGGCUUAACACAUGCAAGUCGAGGGGCAUCAGGAAGAAAGCUUGCUUUCUUUGCUGGCGACCGGCGCACGGGUGAGUAACACGUAUCCAACCUGCCCUUUACUCGGGGAUAGCCUUUCGAAAGAAAGAUUAAUACCCGAUGGCAUAAUGAUUCCGCAUGGUUUCAUUAUUAAAGGAUUCCGGUAAAGGAUGGGGAUGCGUUCCAUUAGGUUGUUGGUGAGGUAACGGCUCACCAAGCUUUCGAUGGAUAGGGGUUCUGAGAGGAAGGUCCCCCACAUUGGAACUGAGACACGGUCCAAACUCCUACGGGAGGCAGCAGUGAGGAAUAUUGGUCAAUGGGCGCUAGCCUGAACCAGCCAAGUAGCGUGAAGGAUGAAGGCUCUAUGGGUCGUAAACUUCUUUUAUAUAAGAAUAAAGUGCAGUAUGUAUACUGUUUUGUACGUAUUAUAUGAAUAAGGAUCGGCUAACUCCGUGCCAGCAGCCGCGGUAAUACGGAGGAUCCGAGCGUUAUCCGGAUUUAUUGGGUUUAAAGGGAGCGUAGGUGGACUGGUAAGUCAGUUGUGAAAGUUUGCGGCUCAACCGUAAAAUUGCAGUUGAUACUGUCAGUCUUGAGUACAGUAGAGGUGGGCGGAAUUCGUGGUGUAGCGGUGAAAUGCUUAGAUAUCACGAAGAACUCCGAUUGCGAAGGCAGCUCACUGGACUGCAACUGACACUGAUGCUCGAAAGUGUGGGUAUCAAACAGGAUUAGAUACCCUGGUAGUCCACACAGUAAACGAUGAAUACUCGCUGUUUGCGAUAUACAGUAAGCGGCCAAGCGAAAGCAUUAAGUAUUCCACCUGGGGAGUACGCCGGCAACGGUGAAACUCAAAGGAAUUGACGGGGGCCCGCACAAGCGGAGGAACAUGUGGUUUAAUUCGAUGAUACGCGAGGAACCUUACCCGGGCUUAAAUUGCAGUGGAAUGAUGUGGAAACAUGUCAGUGAGCAAUCACCGCUGCGAAGGUGCUGCAUGGUUGUCGUCAGCUCGUGCCGUGAGGUGUCGGCUUAAGUGCCAUAACGAGCGCAACCCUUAUCUUUAGUUACUAACAGGUUAUGCUGAGGACUCUAGAGAGACUGCCGUCGUAAGAUGUGAGGAAGGUGGGGAUGACGUCAAAUCAGCACGGCCCUUACGUCCGGGGCUACACACGUGUUACAAUGGGGGGUACAGAAGGCAGCUAGCGGGUGACCGUAUGCUAAUCCCAAAAGCCUCUCUCAGUUCGGAUCGAAGUCUGCAACCCGACUUCGUGAAGCUGGAUUCGCUAGUAAUCGCGCAUCAGCCACGGCGCGGUGAAUACGUUCCCGGGCCUUGUACACACCGCCCGUCAAGCCAUGGGAGCCGGGGGUACCUGAAGUACGUAACCGCAAGGAUCGUCCUAGGGUAAAACUGGUGACUGGGGCU
This 1451-nucleotide ribosomal RNA is filed under the name uncultured bacterium. RNAcentral's name for it is "bacterial SSU rRNA". It matches the Rfam family "Bacterial small subunit ribosomal RNA". The record is from RNAcentral.